GCAGCCCGUACCCUAAACCGACACAGGUAGUUGGGAUGAGAAUUCUAAGGAGCUCGAGAGAUUCAUGGCUAAGGAACUAGGCAAAAUAGACCUGUAACUUCGGGAGAAAGGUCGCCACCCUUUGGGGUGGCCGCAGUGAAAAGGUCCAGGCGACUGUUUAUCAAAAACACAGGGCUAUGCUAAAUUGAAAGAUGAUGUAUAUGGCCUGACACCUGCCCGGUGCUGGAAGGUUAAGUGGAGUUGUUAGUUUAGGCGAAGCAAUCAAAUGAAGCCCCAGUAAACGGCGGCCGUAACAAUAACGGUCCUAAGGUAGCGAAAUUCCUUGUCGGGUAAGUUCCGAC
This 341-nucleotide ribosomal RNA is filed under the name Tripos fusus. RNAcentral describes it as "partial Bacterial large subunit ribosomal RNA". It matches the Rfam family "Bacterial large subunit ribosomal RNA", at positions 1637 to 1987 of the family's 2925-position model. The record is from RNAcentral. Lineage: Eukaryota; Dinophyceae; Gonyaulacales; Ceratiaceae.